AUUGAACGCUGGCGGCAUGCCUUACACAUGCAAGUCGAACGGCAGCACGGGUGCUUGCACCUGGUGGCGAGUGGCGAACGGGUGAGUAAAGUAUCGGAACGUGCCUGGUAGUGGGGGAUAACUAGUCGAAAGACUAGCUAAUACCGCAUACGAUCUAAGGAUGAAAACAGGGGACCUUCGGGCCUUGUGCUAUCAGAGCGGCCGAUAUCUGAUUAGCUAGUUGGUGGGGUAAAAGCCCACCAAGGCGACGAUCAGUAGCUGGUCUGAGAGGACGACCAGCCACACUGGAACUGAGACACGGUCCAGACUCCUACGGGAGGCAGCAGUGGGGAAUUUUGGACAAUGGGGGCAACCCUGAUCCAGCAAUGCCGCGUGAGUGAAGAAGGCCCUCGGGUUGUAAAGCUCUUUUGUCAGGGAAGAAAAGGCUGUGGCUAAUAUCCACAGCUGCUGACGGUACCUGAAGAAUAAGCACCGGCUAACUACGUGCCAGCCGCCGCGGUAAC
Molecule: ribosomal RNA, 503 nt
Filed under: uncultured bacterium
Lineage: Bacteria
Description: bacterial SSU rRNA
Rfam family: Bacterial small subunit ribosomal RNA
Source: RNAcentral